AAGUAGCCAAGACUGGUUAGGUUUAAUUACCCCCAUCAAGUUAUUUUAGAUGUCAGUUUCUACAAGCAUUCACAAAUGCGCAGAUGGCAGAAACAUGUUAUUCCAGAAUGACCAGGCUUGGGUAGAGCUGGAGAAAAAUGUUGAUUCCCUUCUUCAAGGUUUGUGGUGGUAGAAUGUUGGCAGCCUUCCAGUUUAUUAAAACAACAACCCAAUGCUGAUCUUCUCUCUGUAUACACAAUUCAAGGAUGGAUCAUUUACUCAAACAGAGCUGUUCACUGAGGAAAGCCAUCGGAAUGGGUCACAUUACAAACGAGACUCCAGAUCAAAGGAUAACUACUGCCGCGGUGGGUCAAGCUGAUCUGAACUGUGCCAACCAGAUCAGCAUGAAAUUCUAAACCCUGGGCCAAGAAAACAUGUCUCUCUCAAACUGAGA
This is a long non-coding RNA of Hippopotamus amphibius kiboko, 433 nucleotides long. RefSeq lists it as uncharacterized. The transcript has 3 exons. Lineage: Eukaryota; Metazoa; Chordata; Mammalia; Artiodactyla; Hippopotamidae. The record is from RefSeq and is a predicted model, not a curated record.